RNAcentral lists this long non-coding RNA (3591 nucleotides) under Mytilus galloprovincialis (Mediterranean mussel). The record is from RNAcentral. Lineage: Eukaryota; Metazoa; Mollusca; Bivalvia; Mytilida; Mytilidae.
AAAAAGCUCUUGAGAUUCGUUAAUAACAAGGUAAGUUUGAGAUUCAUAUUUACUUGAAAGUAAUUUAAGUUGUGAUACAAGUUUUAAAAUUAUGUAAAUUAUCAAUUAUCAAAAUAUUAAUUUUAAGAACAGCAUAACAUCUGAAAUCUUUGCACCGACUCAAUCAUAGUCUAUUUCUUAAGAGGUAAUUUCCUAAAUGAAAAAUUGACAAGACGAUGUUUAUAAUGUUAACAAACAUGUUUAGUUUUCUUUAUGUUUUCUGUAAUCGAUCAGUAUGUUUCCAUUGUCUAAUUUUAAUUUUAUUACAUCCUGCUUCAUUGAUGGUUGAUUCCACCAAACGUUCGAUUUCAUGAAUGUGACCUACCGAAUUAGACUAUUUAUCUGAUUUGUAAUAACAUGAGCAACACAACGGGUGCAACAUGUGGAGCAGGAUAUGCUUAACCUUCCGGAGCACCUAAGAUCACACCCAGUUUUUGGUGGGGUUUGUGUUGAUCAGUCUUUAGUUUUUUAUGUUGUUUCUUGUGUACUAUUUAUGUCUGUUUGUCUUUUUCAUUUUAAGCCAUGGCGUUGUCAGUUUUUUUUUCGAUUUAUGAGUUUGACUAUUCCUCUGGUAUGUGGCAGGUGUUCUCGACUUAAAUAUUUAUUGUUAAGAAUUGUUAUUAAACCAGCCAAAGGUCGUUGCUUUUCUCUAAGCAUGCCAGCUUCCUCUUCUAAUAAAACUGUCCAUACUAAUCAGCUUUUAGUGCUAAUAGUGGGACUAGACACAAAGCAGUCAAUCACUAAGUCCUGUUGCUGAUAAACUAUUUCAGAUAUAAUAUUAUGACUCAUGAAAACAAGAAGUUAUGGUAUAAAACGGUCCACCAGAAUGCAAAUGUUGUAUAUGUACAAUUAACAAUUAUAUGUCACCAAACGACCUUUGACAGUGCUAUGGAGAUCACAGAACAUCUUAAAUACCGAUUUGGAUUCACGAAUAAUUUUCUGAAAGAAAUUGAACUAUUACCUAUUGUUUAUCUUUUACCCCUCAUAUCCAUUUUCUCUUGGAAAUUGCUUUCUGUAACUUUCCGACUACCCUUAUACUGCCUUGAAAAUAUUAUGGGUCUCUAUGUGUCUUCUGUAAGUUUCCAAGUUUUAAAAAAUAAUAGAAUGUCAUGAAUACAAUAGUUUUGUUAUACGAUAUAUUUUUAAAUUAAUUUUAUUUCUGUUCUUUCCUAGAAUAUGCAGUCGUCAACCAUCAUUUGUUUGCUCCUUAUUUUCUCAUGUGAGUAUUGUAUUUUUAUAAUCUUUAAUAUUACCAUCAUAUGAUUUACUUCUAAUAUUUUUGUGUGAGAAUCAUGUCUUAUAUAUAAAUAUAAUUAGAACAAACAGAUAGUGGCAUAUAUAGAUAUGAAAUAAAAGUAUAUAAUAAAAGUUAUGAUUUUAUAUAAAAAAAAGAAAAGAAAAACCACCCACAAAUAUAAACAUAAGUCGCAGUUAUGAUAAAUAUUACCCUUUACCUUUGUUAUGAAUAAAACAAUGAUGUGCAAUUUAUUUAAAAAGUAUAAGGGAUUAUAAAUAAAUGAAUAUGAAACAAUUUAUUUACAUCUCAUUUUUCUACAGGUUCCAAGUGAGGAAAUCUCAUCAUUUGCUAUCCGUGGUCCGUCGUCGUCGUAAUUUUUUUUUACCAAAAACUAAAAUCACAAAAGUACUGAACUCUGAGUAAAAUUCACAAAGGAAAGUACCUAAUCAAAUGGCAAAAUCAAAAGCUCAAACACACCAAACGAAUGGAUAACAACUGUCAAACUCCUGAACUGGUACAGACAUUUUUUUAUGUAGAAAACGGUGGAUUGAAUCUGGUUAAAUAGCUUGCUUAAACUUUGCAUGACAGUUGCAUCAAAAUUCCAUUAUAUUGACAAACAAUUCUCGUUUUAAUCUAUUUAGUUCAAUAGACAAAACAUGGUCACAAUACUCAUUGGGGUUUCCAGUUUAAAAACAGUAUCAUAUAUAGACAAGCCUUUGAACAAUAAGAUGAAACAAUUCAAAUUAAAAAUCGAACAGCAUAAAUACACUCAUCAUAGAUACCAGAUAAAGGCAACAGUAGUAUACCGAUGUUCAAACUCAUAAAUCGAUAGGCUAAAACAAAUCCGGGUCAUAAACCAAAACCAGGAUUCAAAUUAAGUAUAUAUUUGCGCCAGACACGAGUUCCGUGUACAAAUGACUCAUCAGUGACGCUCGAAUCUAAAAAAAAAAUAAUUUAAAUGCCAAACAAUAUACAAAGUUUUAAGAGCAUUGAUGACCAACCAUUCCUAAAAGUUUGACCAAAUACAGCUAAGGUAUCUAUCCCUGAGGUUGAAACAAUUAAAAUCUUAUUGUUCAAAUGCGAACGGUUUUCUUUCGAGUCUGGGACAAACAAAUCUUAGUAAAAAUAUUAAACAACACGUUUAAUAAUUUAUUGCGUCCGAAGCGCUUUUGGAAUUACCUUCAUCAGGAACGCUCAAAGCCAAACAUUUGAAAUCCGAAGAUGUAUAAGUACGAAAAUCGUUGAAGAGCUAUAUGUUAAAAAUACCUAAAUAAAUAGCCAAAUUCAUCUAAAGCCAACUUUGCCUGAGGGAGUUGAAACCUUAGUUUCAUAAUAAUUUCAAAAUUUAUAAACGGAAAAUUUUAGUAAAGUUUGUUUAAUCAUGUCAGUACCGAAGCACUGACUACUGAGCUGAUGAUACCCUCGGGGACUGAUAGUCCACCAGCAGAGGUAUCGACCCAGUGAUGUAAAAAUAUAAAAGAACACGUUUAAUAAUUUAGUAACUCUUGAUUUAAACUCAUUGUAAAACAAUAUGUAAGUUGCAAUCCUUGCCAAUAGAUACAGAGUAUUGUAUAAAUGUUUACUAUUUUGAGCUGUUUCUUGUUUUAACCUUGGUUUUUUUUUCUUGUUAACCCCCCCCCCCCCCACCUUCAUUUCACCCUCAUUCUUUAUGUGCCUGUCCCAAGCCAGAAGCCGCUAGUUCAGUGGUUGUCGCUAGUUCAUGUUUGCCAUAUUUAUUUUUCGUAAACUGUUUUGUUAUAAUUUACAGCCGAUGGAUUUUUCUCAUUGUUGAAGGACGUACGGUUGCCUAUAAUUAUUUAUCUCUACUCCUAUUGAACUUUGGUGAAUAGUUUUCGAAUUCGCAACCAUACCAGAUCUGGUUAUUGUUUACAUAAUUCAUGGAUUGUAAUCAAAUCUUUUAUUAUUGUAAUUCUUAAAAAUGCAAAUAGAUCAAGGUAAGCGACAUAGGCUCAUAACAUAAUUAUAAAUAAUAUACUAUUAUAAAUACAUACUACCUAAACAUAAUGUACUCAUAUAUUUUUUAGGUAUAACUCUGACCGAGCAGCUAAAGUUAUGUUCUAAAACUUGUUCUGGUUGUAAAGGAUGUUGUGCAAAAAGAGGCUGCACUUCUUUCAAUUCAUGGAGUUGUGUGAACAACAAAUGUUAUUGCGAUUGUGGAGGAUAUUUUUUAAAGGGUAAUAAGAAGUAAAAGAAGCCAGAAGCCAGCAACAAUAAUUAACGCUUGAUUUAAACUCAUUGUAAGAUGUAAACCUAACCAAUAUAUACAGAGUAUUAUAUAAAUUGAUAGCAUUUUG